CCUACGGGGCGCAGCAGUGGGGAAUAUUGGACAAUGGGGGCAACCCUGAUCCAGCCAUGCCGCGUGUGUGAAGAAGGCCCUCGGGCUGUAAAGCACUUUCAGUGAGGAAGAACGCCUGGUGGUUAAUACCCAUCAGGAAAGACAUCACUCACAGAAGAAGCACCGGCUAACUCCGUGCCAGCAGCCACGGUAAUACGGAGGGUGCGAGCGUUAAUCGGAAUUACUGGGCGUAAAGCGCGCGUAGGUGGCUUGAUAAGCCGGUUGUGAAAGCCCCGGGCUCAACCUGGGAACGGCAUCCGGAACUGUCAAGCUAGAGUGCAGGAGAGGAAGGUAGAAUUCCCGGUGUAGCGGUGAAAUGCGUAGAGAUCGGGAGGAAUACCAGUGGCGAAGGCGGCCUUCUGGACUGACACUGACACUGAGGUGCGAAAGCGUGGGUAGCGAACAGGAUUAGAUACCCUGGUAGUC
This 465-nucleotide ribosomal RNA is filed under the name Vreelandella stevensii. RNAcentral describes it as "partial 16S ribosomal RNA". It matches the Rfam family "Bacterial small subunit ribosomal RNA", at positions 338 to 795 of the family's 1533-position model. The record is from RNAcentral. Lineage: Bacteria; Pseudomonadati; Pseudomonadota; Gammaproteobacteria; Oceanospirillales; Halomonadaceae.